Papaver somniferum (opium poppy) is the source of this 1501-nucleotide long non-coding RNA. RefSeq lists it as uncharacterized. The record is from RefSeq and is a predicted model, not a curated record. Lineage: Eukaryota; Viridiplantae; Streptophyta; Magnoliopsida; Ranunculales; Papaveraceae. The transcript has 3 exons.
UGCCAUAUCAAUUUUGUUGGUCUUAUCUCCAACCAUUCGAGAAGAGAUUUUAUUUCUUCUUUUCUCUUCGUCUUUCUUCUGCUUCUUCCAUGUUCUGCGUCUGCAGAAAUUUCUGAGGAUUAAAUGAGGGUUUCGAGAUCGAGUCAAGAUAAGAAAGAUUAAGAAAGUGUUACAUAUGAUGAGGGUUGUUGUGUGGUUGAAUUAUCUCGGGAGGAGAUGAACUGGAUGUAGCUGUAAGAAAGGAUUAGGGUUUCUGUGAGAUGAAAUCGUUUGAAGAUUUAUGAGAAACUGAAGAGGAAAUCAAGUAAUCGAUGAUGGGUAUUGGUGUAGAACUCAAAGACGAGAAGUUGGGGAUUAACUCUCAAAUUUCGGUGAAGACAAUCAAAGAGUUAGGCGGUGAUUUGGUUAUGAAGAUCAGAAGAUUGUUUAGAGGUUCAAUUAAUGAUGAUAAGAGGGAAUUAGAGAUGGGUUUUACCCGAAUUAGAGUUUGAGAUUGAAGAACAACUUGGAAUUGAUAGUUAGGAUUCGAGUAUGUUUCAAUGAAGAUUUGGGGUUUCUUUGAGAAAUGAUGAUGUGGCUGGAGUUCAAUUCUUUUAAUAAAAGAUUCAAAGGAUGAACCAGUGGAUUGAGGAUCUCGAGGUAGGCGAGGCUUGUCAUCCAAAAAGGUUGUAAUCCUAUUAGCUAAGCGGGUUUAUGAUUUGGGGCGUCACAGCUGCUACCCCCAACGUUUCUUCAAGUAUGACACCUCCAACCGUCACCAGAGCUGCUGCUACUCCACCAUCAGGGCGAGAGACUAGAGAUCCUAUAUUACUAUUGAUGAUCUGAUGGAAAGACAAGAAGUUCUUCCUAGAGCUCAGACAGACAUGGCUUCGACCCAAGAGGAGGUGCUUAUUUUCCUCAAGACACUAACGGAGCGGCUACCACAUGAAUCACGCCAACCAGAGCCAAUGAGGAACACCUCCAAUACCCCUGGCGCUGAUACCUCAGCAGGGCGUACUUUUAGAAACGAAGAGACUCGUUCAGGAGAUCCAGCGGAGAGGAAUCAACCAUCCAAUUUCGUCACACGAGAAUAUUUGGAAGGACUCCUUCGAAACCAAGACAAAAGCGAUUCUACAGGCAUGCAUCAGCAUCAACCCCCGUAUCCUCCUGAAGUACAAAAAAUCCCUCUUCUGAAUGGGUACUCUUCCCCUCAAUUCUCCCUGUAUGAUGGCACCGGUAAUGCGCGUGAACAUAUCUCUCGAUUUUUGGAAUCCUUGGGCGAGCAUGAAAAUACAAUCAUGUUCUCCGUUUGGGAGAGUUUUUGAAGUCAAUUACCGGAAGAGCAUACACAUGGUACAACAACAUUGCACCAAACACCAUCUCUAACUGGUGUGACAUGCUUACAGCUUUCUACAAGAAGUACUUCUUUGUGUUUGAGCAAAUUAUAUAUUCUCAGAUUUAGGAAGGAUGUUCCAACGAAACAAUGAACAUCCAAAUGAUUUUUGUCAAAAGGUUCAGAAUU